This is a non-coding RNA of Peromyscus maniculatus bairdii (prairie deer mouse), 2369 nucleotides long. Lineage: Eukaryota; Metazoa; Chordata; Mammalia; Rodentia; Cricetidae. The record is from RefSeq and is a predicted model, not a curated record.
GGUAUCCUGGUUUUCAGAAGCCAGGGAAUACCUAAGUUACAGCUCUGAAGGAGAAGGGAUCCUGGCCGUCAGAAGCCAAGGAAUACCUACAGCUGGAAAGGGAAAGGUAUCCUGGCAGUCAGAAGCUUAGAACAAGCUCAGUGACUGGUUGGAUUUUUUGCAUCAUGAUCAUGUGGUCUAGGACUCACUGUCCUUUGCUUCUCUCCCUUGCCAUAAUGAAGUCACUGAGAUUACAAUAUCAAAAAGAGAUGGGGACAUUAUGGAUAGGUAACUGCAGCACCAGAGGGCGUGGAUGGAACUCUGGAGAGGACAGACAUGGAAACUCACAUCCCAAGCAUCUGCAGAAAAAGCUCUUCUCAAGUGAGAUGGAGAUGGAGGACUCUCAGCUGUUCCUCCAGCACCACAUCUGCUUGCAUGCUGCCAUAAUGAUGAUGGACUAAACCUCUGAAACUAUCCAUCCCCCACCUUCCAUACUCCCCAACUUCAUGCCUCUGUGCUUUAUACACAAUCGAUGCUGAAGAAAUGAUUACAGGCUGAGUAAAUGAAGAGCAUUUUCACUCUGGAUUCCUUUAGGAUUCUCCAUUGACCUUAUCAUUGGAAGUGACUGAAGUAUACCCGCCAAAGCCUCAAACUCAUUGUGUGGCAGACACUGGACCUCUGGUAUCCAGUGUUCACAUAUACCCGUUCUGGUAUACCCAUUGUUCUUGUCAAGAUGCAUAACUGAAGUCUUUAAAUAUAAAUAAGAAAAAGAAAGAUCCCACCCAUAGAGUGAGCAAGUCUAGUUAUAUUUUGUUACCUAGCGACAUCAUGAGAAGCAUUUCCCUUUCGGUCUCAUCUCACAUAAAAACAAAGGACAUGCUUGUUAAUAUCUGACUCACAUCUAUGCCAGGACAAAAAAAAGGCAUUUUAGUACCUGCAUGAGACAAGCAGCACUUAGCACUCCCAUUACAGAACUACUAAUGAGGCCAUUUCUUCAACUACCAUUCCUUGUAAGCCAAAAACAGACAAACAAACUGAUAUGGUUAAGGGCUCAGAAAACAAACAAAACAAAACAAACAAACCAAAAACCUUAGUAGAAAUAGAAAUGAGUCUAUGCUAGGUACUUGUGACAUAUUAAGCUCUUCCAGAGCAAGUCCCUGUGUCACAUGAUGUAAUAGAAAAGACCAUCCUACCUCUUCCAUUGGGCGGAAGGUGAUCAUGAAGGGGGCUCUGGGUAAAUUGGCUUUGUUUGGGAAGAUGCUUCCUUCCCCUGACCCACUGAGUAACAAGACAUGACCAACAAUGUUUCCAAAGGAACUGUGAGGAAAUCUCACUUAUUUCUUAUCAUCUUGGGAGCAAAAAAAAAAAAAAGCCUCAAAAUUCACAGAGUAAUUACAUCUUUGGUAGUUAUGCUGGAAAGUAAAGCAGUAGAUGAAGGAGCUUUCUGAAGGUGGUAGUCAAUCUUUUCCAUCAGACUCAACAUAUUGGGAAAUCUCCAAUUCCACCUUUUCUGUCUUUCCUGACUUACCCAGAUGACCCCUUCCACACCUGCACUAUGCAGCCCUACUUUCAGGAGCACUGGGAUUCCCACUCUUUAUAUUUAGCACUGACCUAGAGCCCAAACUCAACCUUUGUAGUGACAUUGCCCUUAAUCGCUUGCCUUUUGUAACUCUGCUGUAGCAACCAUGAAAAUUAAACUUGAGAAUGUUCUGUUCAGUCCUAUGUUUGAGAUCCAACUUCACGUGCCUAGUAGGGGUGCACCACUAUGCUAAUGACACGAUUGCACAGAGAUGAUUUAGAUAGAAUCUGCAGGCACUCCUUUUCAAUUUGCCCUGUAUUAUAGUUUGGAAGGCCAUGCAUGAUCAUGUUGUGCAAUACCAGUCUGCUAGCUCUUGGUGCAGGAGAGAUCUCCCAGACACACUAGGGAAAGUCACACACAUCUGGGCCAAGGAACACCUGCCUUUUUGCUUCAAGCUACCCUGUACUCAAGAAUAAACAUUUUCUCAUACCCAUGAUCCAGACAGCCCCAUAUCCAGACUUUAUCUUUUUCUUACCCCUGUACUUGGAAAUCACUUGAAAGGGGAUAAAUCAAAGACCUUCUAUCUUUCACACAGGUGACCUUGAGAAAAUAACAUGGCCUUGGUAGAUGGAAGUCCCCAUCUUCAAGUCUUACUUUGGACUAUAAUUGAGACAGUAAGCCUACUACUUCAUUAAAAGGUUCUUUUGGUGUACUAUAAAAUAUGAGAAGUAAGCUCCAGAGCCCUGACAGAUAGUUAGAAAAACCAAAGAUAAAAUCAAUAAUACAUGUGAACCUACUGAGGGGCUUGCAAGGCAGGACACUGGGAGGUAACAAUGAUUUCACAGAAAGACAAGGGAUCUCUUUAUCAUUU